Molecule: ribosomal RNA, 433 nt
Filed under: uncultured bacterium
Lineage: Bacteria
Description: partial 16S ribosomal RNA
Rfam family: Bacterial small subunit ribosomal RNA
Source: RNAcentral
AACGAACGCUGGCGGCAUGCCUAACACAUGCAAGUCGAACGAGACCUUCGGGUCUAGUGGCGCACGGGUGUGUAACGCGUGGGAAUCUGCCCUUGGGUUUGGAAUAACUGUUGGAAACGACUGCUAAUACCGGAUGAUGACGUAAGUCCAAAGAUUUAUCGCCCAAGGAUGAGCCCGCGUAGGAUUAGCUAGUUGGUGAGGUAAAGGCUCACCACGGCGACGAUCCUUAGCUGGUCUGAGAGGAUGAUCAGCCACACUGGGACUGAGACACGGCCCAGACUCCUACGGGAGGCAGCAGUGGGGAAUAUUGGACAAUGGGCGAAAGCCUGAUCGAGCAAUGCCGCGUAAGUGAUGAAGGCCUUAGAGUUGUAAAGCGCUUUUACCCGGGAUGAUAAUGACGGUACCGGGAGAAUAAGCUCCGGCUAACUCCGUG